This 484-nucleotide ribosomal RNA is filed under the name uncultured bacterium. RNAcentral describes it as "partial 16S ribosomal RNA". It matches the Rfam family "Bacterial small subunit ribosomal RNA", at positions 30 to 507 of the family's 1533-position model. The record is from RNAcentral.
AUUGAACGCUGGCGGCAGGCCUAACACAUGCAAGUCGAGCGGAUGAAGGGAGCUUGCUCCUGGAUUCAGCGGCGGACGGGUGAGUAAUGCCUAGGAAUCUGCCUGGUAGUGGGGGAUAACGUCCGGAAACGGGCGCUAAUACCGCAUACGUCCUGAGGGAGAAAGUGGGGGAUCUUCGGACCUCACGCUAUCAGAUGAGCCUAGGUCGGAUUAGCUAGUUGGUGGGGUAAAGGCCUACCAAGGCGCCGAUCCGUAACUGGUCUGAGAGGAUGAUCAGUCACACUGGAACUGAGACACGGUCCAGACUCCUACGGGAGGCAGCAGUGGGGAAUAUUGGACAAUGGGCGAAGGCCUGAUCCAGCCAUGCCGCGUGUGUGAAGAAGGUCUUCGGAUUGUAAAGCACUUUAAGUUGGGAGGAAGGGCAGUAAGUUAAUACCUUGCUGUUUUGACGGUACCAACAGAAUAAGCACCGGCUAACUUCGUG